ACAUGCAAGUCGAACGCAGUAGCAAUACUGAGUGGCAAACGGGUGAGUAUAAUGUGGGAAUCUGCCUUUUGGUUUGGAAUAACACGGGGAAACUUGUGCUAAUACCGAAUAAGCCCUUACGGGGAAAGUUUUAAUGCCGAAAGAUGAGCCCGCACUUGAUUAGCUAGUUGGUAAGGUAAUAGCUUACCAAGGCAACGAUCAAUAGCUGUUCUUAGAGGAAGACCAGCCACAUUGGGACUGAGACACGGCCCAGACUCCUACGGGAGGCAGCAGUGGGGAAUCUUGCACAAUGGGGGAAACCCUGAUGCAGCGAUGCCGCGUGAGUGAAGAAGGCCCUUGGGUUGUAAAACUCUUUCGUCGGGGAAGAAAAUGACUGUACCCGAAUAAGAAGGUCCGGC
Molecule: ribosomal RNA, 398 nt
Filed under: uncultured bacterium
Lineage: Bacteria
Description: bacterial SSU rRNA
Rfam family: Bacterial small subunit ribosomal RNA
Source: RNAcentral